RNAcentral lists this ribosomal RNA (398 nucleotides) under uncultured bacterium. RNAcentral describes it as "bacterial SSU rRNA". It matches the Rfam family "Bacterial small subunit ribosomal RNA", at positions 29 to 418 of the family's 1533-position model. The record is from RNAcentral.
AACGAACGCUGGCGGCGCGCCUAAUACAUGCAAGUCGAGCGAGAAGACGUAGCAAUACGUUUGUAAAGCGGCGAACGGGUGAGGAAUACAUGGGUAACCUACCCUCGAGUGGGGAAUAACUAGCCGAAAGGUUAGCUAAUACCGCGUACGCUCCUUGGACUUCGGUUCAGGGAGGAAAGCGAUACCGUGGGUAUCGCGCUCUUGGAUGGGCUCAUGUCCUAUCAGCUUGUUGGUGAGGAACGGCUCACCAAGGCUUCGACGGGUAGCUGGUCUGAGAGGACGAUCAGCCACACUGGCACUGCGACACGGGCCAGACUCCUACGGGAGGCAGCAGUAAGGAAUAUUGCGCAAUGGGCGAAAGCCUGACGCAGCGACGCCGCGUGGGGGAUGAAGGCCUC